GUGUUGUGUCUGAAUAUACUCGUCUGGCAUUACUUGAGACUCAGAAAGGAAAUCAAGCCACGGAAUCACCUAGAACGCAUAAGUUGUCACACAAGACUGAUUCUUUAAAAGUGGAUUCUCAAGGCUGCAGAAGAAUAUUGCUACCAAACCUUUGUGUUGGCUUUGGCAAUUUGACAGCAACAGCUGAAAACAUUCCUCCUGGAGCAGAAGAAACAAAGUUGCCAGAGGCAGCUGAAAUCAUCAUCAGGGCA
RNAcentral lists this unclassified non-coding RNA (251 nucleotides) under Hevea brasiliensis (rubber tree). The record is from RNAcentral. Lineage: Eukaryota; Viridiplantae; Streptophyta; Magnoliopsida; Malpighiales; Euphorbiaceae.